This 94-nucleotide small nuclear RNA is filed under the name Jaculus jaculus (lesser Egyptian jerboa). Lineage: Eukaryota; Metazoa; Chordata; Mammalia; Rodentia; Dipodidae. The record is from RNAcentral.
AUGCUUUCUUUGGCAGCACAUAUACUAAAAUUGGAUUGAUAUAGAGAUUAGCAUAGACUGCACAAGGAUGGCACACAAAUUUCUCUUUCUCUUU